This 207-nucleotide small nucleolar RNA is filed under the name Carlito syrichta (Philippine tarsier). Its description in RNAcentral is "Small nucleolar RNA U3 (ENSTSYG00000034992.1)". It matches the Rfam family "Small nucleolar RNA U3". From Rfam's summary of the family: Small nucleolar RNAs (snoRNAs) are involved in the processing and modification of rRNA in the nucleolus. There are two main classes of snoRNAs: the box C/D class, and the box H/ACA class. Lineage: Eukaryota; Metazoa; Chordata; Mammalia; Primates; Tarsiidae. The record is from Rfam by way of RNAcentral.
AGGGGUAUACUUUCAGGGAUCGUUUCUGUAGUACAUUACUAGAGAAUUUCCUCAACGUGUAGAGCACUGGAAACCACAAGAAGGAGACGCAGUGUUCUUUCCUGUGUGUGAAGCUGGCGCUUGCUGGUGUUUUGCUGCAACUGCUGUUUAACGUUGCUGAUAGUUCUUCUUUUCUUCCAGGAGAAUAAGAGGGAGAGGACACAAAAG